Etheostoma spectabile (orangethroat darter) is the source of this 264-nucleotide long non-coding RNA. RefSeq lists it as uncharacterized. The transcript has 3 exons. The record is from RefSeq and is a predicted model, not a curated record. Lineage: Eukaryota; Metazoa; Chordata; Actinopteri; Perciformes; Percidae.
UUCCCCCAAGAGCAAGCAUUAAAUGCGACAGUGGUGAAGAAAAACUCCCUUUUAGCGAGAAACCUCGGGCGGUGAGGAAACUUCCUUUUAGGACGAUUCUCGGACAGACCCAGGCUCUUGGUAGGUGGUGUCUGAAGGUGCCGGUUGGGGGGUGUGAUGAACAGUGGCAAUAAUGUUCACAAUAAAGAUAAUGGAACUAUGACUAGAAAUAGUAGCUGUAAUAGUUCAUGGUGUAACAGGACACUGCAUGGCACAGCGGGGUGU